ACGGGAGGCAGCAGUGGGGAAUAUUGCACAAUGGGGGAAACCCUGAUGCAGCGACGCCGCGUGAGUGAAGAAGUAUUUCGGUAUGUAAAGCUCUAUCAGCAGGAAAGAAAAUGACGGUACCUGACUAAGAAGCCCCGGCUAACUACGUGCCAGCAGCCGCGGUAAUACGGAGGGGGCAAGCGUUAUCCGGAUUUACUGGGUGUAAAGGGAGCGUAGACGGUAAGGCAAGUCUGAAGUGAAAUGCCAGGGCUCAACCCUGGAACUGCUUUGGAAACUGUCCUACUAGAGUGCAGGAGAGGUAAGUGGAAUUCCUAGUGUAGCGGUGAAAUGCGUAGAUAUUAGGAGGAACACCAGUGGCGAAGGCGGCUUACUGGACUGUAACUGACGUUGAGGCUCGAAAGCGUGGGGAGCAAACAGGAUUAGAUACCCUGGUA
RNAcentral lists this ribosomal RNA (434 nucleotides) under uncultured Lachnospiraceae bacterium. RNAcentral's name for it is "partial 16S ribosomal RNA". It matches the Rfam family "Bacterial small subunit ribosomal RNA", at positions 341 to 792 of the family's 1533-position model. Lineage: Bacteria; Bacillati; Bacillota; Clostridia; Lachnospirales; Lachnospiraceae. The record is from RNAcentral.